UAGUGAGGGAGGGGUGAGGGGGCCGGGGUCGGAGAGACGGCUCCCCGGAGCCAGCUGUUCGUCCUGAUCACCAAUGAAAACUAACCUUUAACAGCAACUGAGACACAGAUGGUCAGAGUGUAACAGUGUCGUACAGAGAGUCUGCUGGGGGCAGAGGAGAGUAGGUACUGGAGCUGCGCGAGCUGAUGGCGUGCCAGCAGUUAACAACGAGGCUAACACCACGGUGACUCGAUACCAAUGUUAUGUUACUAACACGUGUGAGCAGCUACUGAUUGGCUAGUGAAGAAUCCCGGAAAAGGACAUCAGAGCAGAAGAGAGACCCAAAAAUCCACAGACUUAAAUGCAAACUUGAGUCCAAGAGCUACGACUGACACUGGAGCUAAGAGGCAGCAGAGGAAUGAGGAAACUAACUGGGCGGAAUGGGGAUGCCGACGGACACAUUCUGCAUCUGGGACCGUCACCCAAGCAGUCGGCGAAGGCAAAUGUCAGCAUGCGCCGAGUCCACGCUUGACUGUGCCGCACUCGGCACCACCACCUGGCCCUCCUUGCUCAGCCACCGAGUGUGGGCAGCAGUGACACUGCAGAGCCUUUCCCCCAGGGUGAGGGGAAAAGCACCGCGGUGUUCAGGGCUCAUCCACAUGCAUGCAUGUACACCAACACCUCCUGCACUCCCUGCUCUUUUUCACACAAGAGAUACACAAAAAGAAACAUGGGACUUCAGUACAACAGCAAGCUUAGCUGAAACCUCUCGUAAAAAAAGAUUGCUCUGUCAUGCGUCUGUUCUGUCCAAGCUGAAGCACGGCCGAGUUAAAAAAAAAUAAUAAAGCUCAUGAGACGAUGUCAUGAACAAAA
Long non-coding RNA from Scophthalmus maximus (turbot), 852 nucleotides. RefSeq lists it as uncharacterized. The transcript has 3 exons. Lineage: Eukaryota; Metazoa; Chordata; Actinopteri; Pleuronectiformes; Scophthalmidae. The record is from RefSeq and is a predicted model, not a curated record.